UCAUCGUGUCGCGACUGGCGUUGAGGUGGACCACCACCGGGGAGCGACCACUUGGCAAUCGACCGUUCGCCUGGGUCGGGUAG
This 83-nucleotide non-coding RNA is filed under the name Microbacterium sp. Its description in RNAcentral is "ZTP sequence". It matches the Rfam family "ZMP/ZTP riboswitch aptamer (pfl RNA motif)". Rfam says of the family: Previously known as pfl RNA. ZMP is also known as AICAR. Lineage: Bacteria; Bacillati; Actinomycetota; Actinomycetes; Micrococcales; Microbacteriaceae. The record is from RNAcentral.